Molecule: ribosomal RNA, 121 nt
Filed under: Pteropus alecto (black flying fox)
Lineage: Eukaryota; Metazoa; Chordata; Mammalia; Chiroptera; Pteropodidae
Source: RNAcentral
GAUUACAGUUUACAACUACCCUGAACAAACCCGAUCCCGUCUGAUCUCGGAAGCUAAGCAGGGUGGGGCCUGGUUAGUACUUGGAUGGGAGACCACCUAGGAAGACCAGGUACUGUAGGUG